RNAcentral lists this unclassified non-coding RNA (1431 nucleotides) under Leishmania donovani. Its description in RNAcentral is "gene:LdHU3.07.0550(CDS-product:hypothetical_prote in_conserved)". Lineage: Eukaryota; Euglenozoa; Kinetoplastea; Trypanosomatida; Trypanosomatidae. The record is from RNAcentral.
CCACUCGGCAAAGUACGACGUCUUUGUGUGUAUGUGUGCUCUUCGGGGUCGUCUUCCUAUUUCUGGACGCGCUACCUCUUAAAACACACACAUAUAUACCGAUAACGCACUGCGCACACGGGCGAAGCGUAUCCGUGGCGUAUGUUUUGAAAGGAGGGAGAGCACACAGAAGAAAAAGAAAGGAAUAAUAGGAAACAGAGAUGCGCCGGACUGUGCGUGCUCUCUACAACUCCUUCGAGCGCGGAUGGAAGGACAAGACUGUCCACCCGCUUGACCGCCGUGGCCGCUUUAACCUGGAUGAGGCCGCUGCGGAGCUGCAGCUGGAUGAGGCGUACGUCGCCUCUCUCUACAAGCCAUUACAUUACACGUAUUCGAUGAAGGGGCAGCGCUAUCCAGCCGAGCAGGGUCGCACCAGCCGUCCAGGAUCGUUGGCAGCCUCGCGGGAUCGCAUGUUUCCCUUGUACCGGCGAAACUACAAGCUGGAUCGUGAACUGCGUGUUCUGGACCACCGGCGCAUCUCAACAGACUAACGCGACUGUCUCCAUCAUCCACCUUCUCUUUUCCCUGGUAACUGGUUGAGGUAGGAGGUGGAUGGUAAAGGUCGCCGUGUGUUCCCUCUCCAGCGAAGGUAUACCUAUGUGCGUAUUACUGUUGGUGUCGUGUGGGUGUUGAAGAUGACGCGUGCGACAGCGUUGGCGGCGUGCCUGCAUAAAUCAUAUUGCAUCGUCAUCUCGUGUCUUCUCUGUGCCUCUGUUGCUGCAACACCGCGAGGCUGUGCUAGCGCUUUCCUUUUUCAUGAUGGCUCCGAAUCCUGGGUGCUCUUUCACACAAACACAGCCGCACAAGUGUGCCGGCUCGGCAGCGUGCCAAAGCGAAGAGCACGCGCUCUCCGGGCUGCGGAGGGUGUGAAUUUCACGCGGUGCGCCGAUAUCGGUCUCGUAUUGAUGCAUUCAGAACACUACGUAUUGUCGGUGUCGUAUGGAUGGCCGCUCUGUCUAGCGCUGACGCGAUGGUGCCGGCACCGUCGGCGUUGUGGGGGUGUGCUGCUCAGUCCCUUUUCUUCCGUCCCACACUUUGGCAGAAACUGCCGACACCUUUCAUCAAGGAAGCAGAUGAAGGGGGGGGGGGGCAUAUAACCGACUGCCGAGUACGUGUGCGCCUUUUCUUCACCGCUUCUCUUGCACUGCCUCACCUGUUUGCGAGGCACACCGUUCGCCUUUCUACCUCUCUCACGCUACCACACCCACCCACCCCUUCUUCCUCCCUCUCCCUUUGCCUAUUUGUUCGCUGACCACUGGUGCACGUAUACAUAUAUAUAUAUAUACAUAUACAUAUAUAUAUAUAUAUAUAUAUAUAUAUGUAUAUACAUAUACACGUUCGCACGUGCCCCCCUUCCCCCUCCUCCUCCUCUGCGAUCCAAUCUCCAUCAAG